GAUGAACGCUGGCGGCGUGCCUAAUACAUGCAAGUCGAGCGAACAGACGAGGAGCUUGCUCCUCUGACGUUAGCGGCGGACGGGUGAGUAACACGUGGAUAACCUACCUAUAAGACUGGGAUAACUUCGGGAAACCGGAGCUAAUACCGGAUAAUAUAUUGAACCGCAUGGUUCAAUAGUGAAAGACGGUUUUGCUGUCACUUAUAGAUGGAUCCGCGCCGCAUUAGCUAGUUGGUAAGGUAACGGCUUACCAAGGCAACGAUGCGUAGCCGACCUGAGAGGGUGAUCGGCCACACUGGAACUGAGACACGGUCCAGACUCCUACGGGAGGCAGCAGUAGGGAAUCUUCCGCAAUGGGCGAAAGCCUGACGGAGCAGCGCCGCGUGAGUGAUGAAGGUCUUCGGAUCGUAAAACUCUGUUAUUAGGGAAGAACAAAUGUGUAUGUAACUAUGCACGUCUUGACGGUACCUAAUCAGAAAGCCACGGCUAACUACGUG
This 497-nucleotide ribosomal RNA is filed under the name uncultured bacterium. RNAcentral's name for it is "partial 16S ribosomal RNA". It matches the Rfam family "Bacterial small subunit ribosomal RNA", at positions 28 to 507 of the family's 1533-position model. The record is from RNAcentral.